Molecule: long non-coding RNA, 667 nt
Organism: Wasmannia auropunctata (little fire ant)
Lineage: Eukaryota; Metazoa; Arthropoda; Insecta; Hymenoptera; Formicidae
Exons: 2
Source: RefSeq, a predicted model, not a curated record
GUGCUGUCUCGGGGCACGCGUUUGUUUUCACGCCGACCCCGCAGAAAUUAAGUAUGCAGGAAAGUGGACAAAAAAAAAAAAGAGGCGUGAGGAAGAGAAGUGUAUUACUAAAAUAAAUAAUGCGUAUUACGAGAACAGCGAGAUAGGAGAUACGUGUGUCUGUUCAUUCAAAUUUAUGCGAUGGCUAAUGAGAGGAUUCUGAAAGGAGAGAUUCCCGGCGCGAAAGACGUUCAGGAAGACACGCUCUCGGAUACUUCAGCUGCUCGAAAACCCGUCGAUGUAUCCGAUGUCUGAGGGGGAGUACAGAACAGGUUUAAGAACGCUGCGGCUGACCGAACUUCAAAUCCGCUCUUCUACGGCCGAAGUCAGAAACGGGCGCUCCGAAAUCAAUUCGUUUUCUUUCGCAUGGAAUCACGUUCGGCAAUCGAAACUAUUCGUAAUUUCGAUGAGUUCUGGAUGUUGCACGCUAGGAGCAAGCCGAAAUUAAUGUUGCACUUUGUCAACGAACAAGGGAUGACUCUGAAUUGAAUUGCUAUAAAAUUUAUGUAAUACUGAUAUAACAAAAAGAGAACACAAACAUAAUUUCGACGAGUCGAGUUUUUUAAGACACAGAUUCGACGUUAUGUAAGAUAAGAUAAGAAAAUACAUAGAUAAGAGAUGUAGAAAA